RNAcentral lists this ribosomal RNA (156 nucleotides) under Alternaria embellisia. RNAcentral describes it as "5.8S ribosomal RNA". The stretch from base 1 to 121 matches the Rfam family "5.8S ribosomal RNA", at positions 34 to 154 of the family's 154-position model. Rfam says of the family: 5.8S ribosomal RNA (5.8S rRNA) is a component of the large subunit of the eukaryotic ribosome. It is transcribed by RNA polymerase I as part of the 45S precursor that also contains 18S and 28S rRNA. The record is from RNAcentral. Lineage: Eukaryota; Fungi; Ascomycota; Dothideomycetes; Pleosporales; Pleosporaceae.
CGAUGAAGAACGCAGCGAAAUGCGAUACGUAGUGUGAAUUGCAGAAUUCAGUGAAUCAUCGAAUCUUUGAACGCACAUUGCGCCCUUUGGUAUUCCAAAGGGCAUGCCUGUUCGAGCGUCAUUUGUACCCUCAAGCUUUGCUUGGUGUUGGGCGUC